CCAGAAAGUUGCUUGUGUCCUUCUCCCAGUUCUCAGUGCUCAAGAACGUUAAAUCAACCUCUUGAUGAUUCAUGAGAGGGGACUCCAUCACCACAGCAGAGCCACUCUAAGUCUUAGACCCUGAGGUUUAGAACUCAGGCCCCCCAGCGCCCAUCUGAGGCUGCUCGCUGAGUUCUGCCAUGUGCUUGUGAGAGCUAUGAAGGACCGCAAUGAUGCCAGCAGCCGCCCACACAGAGCCCUCGUUAGGACAUGUGCCUCCAGUCCGUUUCCCCGGAACUUCUAUGAGCACAGCUAUAUCUGUAAAACUUUCAGAACAACUUAAAGGCCUGAUCAUUAAGUGCCCGGUAACUGAGUGAGUGGAUGUUGGUACAGCCGCUGUGAGGAGUACCCCACAGGGGUGAAGACUGUGGCUACACAGGUGUUUGUUGCAGCCACAAGAUAGCAAUGGAUAUAGAAAAUGACAGGAAAGAUAGAUUUGGAUAUAACUUGCUUUGUAAGUAAACAUACCACCCAAUCUUUUGGGGGACACUCUUCCUGGCCCCUACCUCCCAGCUCUGUGCCAUUAAAGAGGAAAGCUGCCUGGAUCUCUGUUUGCUGCUGCCAGGGUGCAGGCCACACAGUACAGCAUCAGGCUUUGUCUUCCAAGUAGGAGGGAGUGGUGAGAAGAACCUCGUGUCUGGAGGUUGGCACGUCAACUCCAUGAACAGAAUUCGACCACUUUUUGAAGGGAAAGCUAUCCGUCACAGAUUCCGAAGGGACUUGGUACCCACUGGCCUGGGAAUAAAAUGAAAGCCACUCUGGCUAGAAAGCCAGCCCCUCGCUCAGUGCCUCUAUAGGGCCAACGUAGUGAGGAACUCUGGCUUUUCCUUGAGGACCACAGGGUGGUGAGGGAGUGCUGCCAGCCUGGCUUCACAAGCUCUUCAUCUGUGCCUGUCUUAUUUGUUCUUUGGUGUGUGUGUGUGUGUGUGUGUGUGUGUGUGUGUGUGUGUGUAGUGGGACUAGGUCAGAGGGCGAUGUCAGGCAUCAUCCCUCAGGUUCCAUCCUAUCCAUCUGUUUCCUGAGACAGUGUCUCUCAUUGGCCUGGAAGUCAUCAAAGUAUGCCAAGCUGGCCAGCCUGUGAGACCCAGGGAUCCACCUGUCCCUGCCGCCCUGAUACUGAGAUCACAAGCAUGAACUACCACGCUUGGAUGAAUUUGUUAGGGUGGUUUUGUUUUUUUUGUUUUUGCAUGGGUUGUGGGCUCAUGUCAUUAUACUUGCAAGGCAAGCAUUUUAUCUCCUGAACUCUUUUUCCCACACUGUCUCCUAUCUUGGUUUUGGUUACGUGGUCAAUGUAACCAAAGGACAGGAGAGACUUAACCUGAUAGAGAAUCUCUAAUCCCACCCCCACCUUCUUACCUCCUUCCUCCUCUGUUGCCCUCUCCCUAAACCCUAUUGCUAAGGUCAGAUGGGACAUGUCCCCCACAGACUCAAUUGUUGAACGCUUGGUCCCCAGCUGGCAGUGCCAUCUUGGGAGGCUGUGGAACCCUCAGAGCAAGAGACAUGAUUGGUGGAAGUCACAGGGUGGGGGGGGGGGGGGUGUCAGUCUUGAACAGGCUAGCCUUUCUUCCAGAUGGAGCUUUCUGUGUCCUGUCCACCAAGAUGUGAACAAGCCGAGCACAGGCUUCCACCACCAUAGACCAAGCCACGUCGGCAGCCAUGUCAUCCCCACUGGGAAACUUCCAACGAAAAGAAAUGUUCCUCCCUUGAGUCACAUUGUCAGGAGUCACAGGCCCAGUCAUGAGGACAGUGACUGCUCAAGGGAAUGGAAAGUCCCUGCAGCUGCCCAGCUCCAGCCUGAGAGGCUUAGUGAAGUGAGCCAGCAGGAAGAGAGGAGCAGAAGAGGAAGUGGACAUCUGUUUCUGCAAUGGCGCUGCAGGUGGCCGAAUAUAGGACUGCACCAGAGCCUGAGAAAGAAAGUUUGGGAAGAACACCUUCCUGGUGGUCACAUCUGUGACACACAUCCUCCUCUUCAGCUCCAAACAUCAAAUGACUGUGUUCUGCCUCCUGGCCCCGUGUGAUGUCUACAAAAGAUCACUGAGCAGAGGAAGUCCUUUGGGGCACCGAACGUGCCCGCAGCCUGGGCAGUGACUUCCAUUUGUCCCUUGUACUCUGCAGAAGGAAGAGUUCUUGGGACUAGCA
Onychomys torridus (southern grasshopper mouse) is the source of this 2178-nucleotide long non-coding RNA. RefSeq lists it as uncharacterized. Lineage: Eukaryota; Metazoa; Chordata; Mammalia; Rodentia; Cricetidae. The record is from RefSeq and is a predicted model, not a curated record. The transcript has 7 exons.